RNAcentral lists this ribosomal RNA (320 nucleotides) under uncultured bacterium. RNAcentral describes it as "bacterial SSU rRNA". It matches the Rfam family "Bacterial small subunit ribosomal RNA", at positions 470 to 789 of the family's 1533-position model. The record is from RNAcentral.
UGACGGUACCUGACUAAGAAGCACCGGCUAAAUACGUGCCAGCAGCCGCGGUAAUACGUAUGGUGCAAGCGUUAUCCGGAUUUACUGGGUGUAAAGGGAGCGUAGACGGCAUGGCAAGCCAGAUGUGAAAGGUGGGGGCUCAACUCCCAAGCUGCAUUUGGAACUGUCAAGCUAGAGUAUCGGAGAGGUAAGUGGAAUUCCUAGUGUAGCGGUGAAAUGCGUAGAUAUUAGGAGGAACACCAGUGGCGAAGGCGGCUUACUGGACGAUAACUGACGUUGAGGCUCGAAAGCGUGGGGAGCAAACAGGAUUAGAUACCCUG